Daphnia carinata is the source of this 664-nucleotide long non-coding RNA. RefSeq lists it as uncharacterized. The record is from RefSeq and is a predicted model, not a curated record. NCBI's taxonomy places the organism in Eukaryota, Metazoa, Arthropoda, Branchiopoda, Diplostraca, Daphniidae. The transcript is spliced from 3 exons.
UUUCCAAAUCGGAAUGAGACGCAUCUCGUGUUACAAGUGUUACGCGUCUCACGCGGAUUAGUCGAGGAGAAAAAAAAAAUUGGGACCAGAAAGAGCCGGUAGAGUUUGAAAGGAGUGACCGUCUUCAUGCUCGAUGUGACGCUCAUCUCAACUUAUAAAGUAAAAGACAGCGGAGAUGACAGCAAAGAAAGGACGGGAAAAAAAAGGAAAAACGAUGAAAACGGAAGUCGUGUCGAGAGCGUGUCCGGUCGUCUCCGGGAGCUCAACAUCCUCCCCUCUCAACCAUCUCUGGCAGGAGCAGCAGAAAGUCCAGGGGGGAUGUAAGGAAAUGGGGGACGGAAUACGAACGGAACAGAGAAGCGACGCAGCCGGUUUGAAAAACUUGGGUCAGAGAAGAAAACAAAACGGAAGAAAAAUCUUCACCAUACCCCGCCGCGUGACUGUUGCUCUGCCUCCUGAGCUCCCGAAACGAGAAUUUUAAAUGGACUCUUUCAUCUUAAGAGAUAACCAAGUGCCAAGGAAGCACGGCCCGUUUGGUUCCAACCGAACGCGAGGAGGAGAGGAACGUACCAAAAUUUUUUUUUUUUUUCGAACAAAAUCAAAUUCAACUAAAUAACACGUUCGCAAUGCUUCACAUUCAAAUAGUUCCAUCACGAUUACAAGA